RNAcentral lists this ribosomal RNA (229 nucleotides) under uncultured bacterium. RNAcentral's name for it is "partial 16S ribosomal RNA". It matches the Rfam family "Bacterial small subunit ribosomal RNA", at positions 568 to 796 of the family's 1533-position model. The record is from RNAcentral.
UCCGUAGGCGGGUAAUUAAGUCAGAGGUGAAAUCCCACAGCUCAACUGUGGAACUGCCUUUGAUACUGGUUGUCUUGAGUUACAGUGAAGUAGAUAGAAUAUGUAGUGUAGCGGUGAAAUGCAUAGAUAUUACAUAGAAUACCGAUUGCGAAGGCAGUCUACUAACUGUAUACUGACGCUAAUGGACGAAAGCGUGGGGAGCGAACAGGAUUAGAUACCCUGGUAGUCC